GUGAACGCUGGCGGUAGGCCUAACACAUGCCAGUCGAACGGCAGCACAGUAAGAGCUUGCUCUUACGGGUGGCGAGUGGCGGACGGGUGAGGAAUACAUCGGAAUCUACUUUUUCGCGGGGGAUAACGUAGGGAAACUUACGCUAAUACCGCAUACGACCUACGGGUGAAAGCAGGGGAUCUUCGGACCUUGAGCGAUUGAAUGAGCCGAUGUCGGAUUAGCUAGUUGGCGGGGUAAAGGCCCACCACGGCGACGAUCCGUAGCUGGUCUGCGAGGAUGAUCAGCCACACUGGAACUGAGACACGGUCCAGACUCCUACGGGAGGCAGCAGUGGGGAAUAUUGGACAAUGGGCGCAAGCCUGAUCCAGCCAUACCGCGUGGGUGAAGAAGGCCUUCGGGUUGUAAAGCCCUUUUGUUGGGAAAGAAAAGCAGCAGGUUAAUACCCCGCUGUUCUGACGGUACCCAAAGAAUAAGCACCGGCUAACUUCGUG
Molecule: ribosomal RNA, 491 nt
Filed under: uncultured bacterium
Lineage: Bacteria
Description: partial 16S ribosomal RNA
Rfam family: Bacterial small subunit ribosomal RNA
Source: RNAcentral